CUCAGGAUUCCUGGAUAACCUGAAAAAUUUGCUUCUAGACCAGGAUAGCACUGUUCGACAAAAAACAACUGAAGUCCUUUAUGUAAUGGCUACUCAUACUGUUGGCAGGAAUGGUUUUAUAGAAAAUGGAGUCAUUCCUGCCCUGUCCCAGCUCUUGAAUGAUCCAGAGGAUAUCUGCCGAAGAAACAUGCACCGAGCAUUUAAAAUGAUGUCAGAAUUGCCGACAGACUAGUCACAGUGCUCCAGUGAAUGAGAUAGAUGUAACCAGUGCCUGAGGGCUGAGCUGCCCCAUUGCCACUGCCUGUGAUGCUGCUGUUCAAAGACCUGCCCAAUUAAAAGACUGUUUAAAAAAUUAAGGAAUCUUUUCUCCCAAAUUUCUCUUGUCCUUCCGUACAUUUCCUUUAUUAUCAUUUCCAGAUGUCCGUUCUGCUGCAUUUAAGAGCAUUACUUACUUCUGAUUCCUUCAGUUGUUUUGUCAAACUUGAAUGGCCAUAGGUAGUAUUCUGAAGACUAGUGCUGAAAUGAAAUGGUCACAAGUCAGUAAACCACAUAACCCCAAAGGAAGUGUAAACCGUUUUACAACUUUAUUUUCCCAGUUACUGAUGGUAGCAGAUUACAUCAUGGAGGGAAAUCUAGACUGCAGAAUGGUACCAGUGUGGGACAAAUAAAUGCCUUCAUAGGCGCUUUCACAGGUGGACUAAGUCUAGGAUAGUCAUACCCAGACUCGUUAUGUGUCUCCUACAACUCUUUGCAGCACAUGUGAUUUAAUUAUUACCCAGUCUAAGUAAUUAACAAAUCAAGAUGUUUUUUCUAUGUUAUUAACCAAUUGAAGUUGAUAAAAUAAUACUUGGUUAGGCAUUUUGAUGAUAGAAUAUAUAUAAUAAAUAGAAAAAUAAAAAAUGUCUCCAUUGUACUAUUAAAAUAUGAAUAUAUAGUACUGUAGUAAUCAAAACAAUGAAUUCAUACUACUGUGGCUCUUUUAGACAGCAUUGAUUACUAAUUCGGUUCCUGAACCAUUGAGAUCUGUGUGGGUAUGUCUACACUACAGCACUAAUUCGAACUAACUUAAUUCGAAUUAGUUAAUU
Pelodiscus sinensis (Chinese soft-shelled turtle) is the source of this 1085-nucleotide non-coding RNA. The record is from RefSeq and is a predicted model, not a curated record. Lineage: Eukaryota; Metazoa; Chordata; Testudines; Trionychidae.